GAUUAUAGCUCAGGAUGAACGCUGGCGGCGUGCCUAACACAUGCAAGUCGAACGAGCGAGAGAUGAAACCUAGUGAUUCUCGAGCGAGUGGCGGACGGGUGAGUAACGCGUGGGUAACCUGCCUUACAGAGGGGGAUAACAGUUUGAAAAGACUGCUAAUACCGCAUAAGCACACAGUACCGCAUGGUACAGGGUGAAAAGAUUUAUCACUGUAAGAUGGACCCGCGUCUGAUUAGCCAGUUGGCAGGGUAACGGCCUACCAAAGCGACGAUCAGUAGCCGACCUGAGAGGGUGAUCGGCCACAUUGGGACUGAGACACGGCCCAAACUCCUACGGGAGGCAGCAGUGGGGGAUAUUGCACAAUGGAGGAAACUCUGAUGCAGCGAACCGCCGCGUGAGUGAAGAAGUAUUUCGGUAUGUAAAGCUCUAUCAGCAGGGAAGAUAAUGACAGUACCUGACCAAGAAGCCCCGGCUAACUACGUGCCAGCAGCUGC
RNAcentral lists this ribosomal RNA (494 nucleotides) under uncultured bacterium. RNAcentral's name for it is "bacterial SSU rRNA". It matches the Rfam family "Bacterial small subunit ribosomal RNA", at positions 15 to 518 of the family's 1533-position model. The record is from RNAcentral.